GCCAACCCUAGCCCAACACUCUCUUCCACAUAUAAUACCCAAUCAUAUAAAACAAACCAUUUACCAAUUACAAAAGUAUAGGUGAUAGAAAUUGGACUCUAGGCGCAAUAGACAUAGUACCGCAAGGGAAAGACAAAAUCCUAAAUAGCACAGAAAAGCAAAGACAAACCCUUUUACCUUCUGCAUAAUGAACUAACUAGAAAUAACUUUAUAAAGAGAACUUAAAUAAUGUCCCCCGAAACCAAACGAGCUACCUAAGGACAGCUAGAGAGCACACCCGUCUAUGUGGCAAAAUAGUGGGAAGAUCUUUAGGUAGAGGCGACAAACCUACCGAGCUUGGUGAUAGCUGGUUGUCCAAGACAGAAUCUUAGUUCAGCUUUAAAAUUACCUCCAGAAUUGCAUAGUCCUCAUGUAAUUUUAACUGUUAGUCUAAAGAGGUACAGCUCUUUAGACCCUAGGAAACAACCUUUAAUAGAGAGUAAAUCAUAUAAUAACCAUAGUUGGCCUAAAAGCAGCCACCAAUUAAGAAAGCGUUCAAGCUCAAUAUACACUUACUACUAAUUCUACUAACCACACUGAACUCCUCAAACAAAUUGGACUAAUCUAUUAUUCAAUAGAAGCAAUAAUGUUAAUAUAAGUAACAUGAAAUUAUUCUCCCCGCAUAAGCUUAUUACAGACCGGAACAACUACUGCUAGUUAACAGCCUAAUUAAAAUAUUCUAUAAAUUAAUUCAUCAAUUAACUAAACUGUUGACCCAACACAGGUAUGCAUUCAGGAAAGAUUAAAAAAAGUAAAAGGAACUCGGCAAACUUUACCCCCGCCUGUUUACCAAAAACAUCACCUCUAGCAUCUCCAGUAUUAGAGGCACUGCCUGCCCAGUGACACAUGUUCAACGGCCGCGGUACCCUGACCGUGCAAAGGUAGCAUAAUCACUUGUUCCCUAAAUAGGGACUCGUAUGAAUGGCCACACGAGGGUUUAACUGUCUCUUACUUUUAAUCAGUGAAAUUGACCUAUCCGUGAAGAGGCGGAUAUACCAAAAUAAGACGAGAAGACCCUAUGGAGCUUCAAUUCAAUAGUACAUACUAAUAUCUCUAAACCUACAGGCAAUAACCUAUCGUUAAUGUACUAUAAAUUUUGGUUGGGGCGACCUCGGAGUAUAACAUAACCUCCGAAAAUAGACACUAAGACCUCACUAGUCUAAGUAAAUACAUAAUAAUUGACCCAAUAACUUGAUCAACGGACUAAGUUACCCUAGGGAUAACAGCGCAAUCCUAUUUUAGAGUCCAUAUCGACAAUAGGGUUUACGACCUCGAUGUUGGAUCAAGACAUCCUAAUGGUGCAGAAGCUAUUAAGGGUUCGUUUGUUCAACGAUUAAAGUCUUACGUGAUCUGAGUUCAGACCGGAGCAAUCCAGGUCGGUUUCUAUCUAUUAAACAUUUCUCCCAGUACGAAAGGACAAGAGAAAUAGGGCCUACUUCAUAAAGCGCCCUCAAAAAUUAGAUGACUAACAUCUUAAUCUCACAUACUAUUACUUCACCCAAGAACAGGGCCU
Molecule: ribosomal RNA, 1552 nt
Filed under: Saguinus inustus (mottle-faced tamarin)
Lineage: Eukaryota; Metazoa; Chordata; Mammalia; Primates; Cebidae
Description: 16S ribosomal RNA
Rfam family: Bacterial large subunit ribosomal RNA
Source: RNAcentral